AUUUAUCUUAUAUACAAUUGAGUAUACCGUAUCGAAUCGUGCCUUCACAAAUUAUAAGUUGUAAAAGAAUCUUAUUGACCUAUUAGAAUGCAAGGAGAAAAGAGACUAUAUGGCAGUUGGCCUCGAAGAAGUUGUGGAUCCUUCCAUCUCUAUAGAAUCCUAUAUAAAUCGUGGGCUGUGGCUUUCUAUGGAGGAACACGUGCCAGCCACAUGUUGCACAAAACGAAUCCUUCAGUGAUCCUUUCGAAUAUCCGAAGCGUAAAGUCGCAGUUACAAAGGAGUUUUAGAAGCCCAUAAAUGAUUCUCUUUCGGACGAAGGAUAUGAAACAUCGACAGAUGUUUUCCGACUGAAUCUCUUGAAAGAUGUUAAAUUUCCUAUAUACGGACGUUUCAAAAGGAAUAUGCAUAUAUAAUCUAACAAGUUACGAUCAAGGAACGGGACGAUUCUCGAGAACACGUGGUUGUGACCAUCUGUUGGCAUACUGCUUCGACCAUCUUAUCCUUAGAAACCUCACAAGUUCUCCUGCAUUCACAACAUUAACACACAAGCAUCAAUCUUGAAUGAAACUUUAUUUUAUUUAUAAAAUAUAUUUAUGAAACGCAAGGAAAUAAAAUAUCGAUUAAACGAGAAUACAAAAUAAAAAAAAUAGAACAGAUAUAAUAGGAAAAUGAGACAAAAGAAACCCUUUAGAAAUUUAUUAUUAAGAAAUUCAACUUUCUAUUAUCUUUAUCGUGAAAUUACUACAAAGAAGACGAGGUGUAAACUUUCCCAGCAACGCGUUUAAAUAUUUAUCUUAAAGAACGACUUAUGCUCUUAAUAAUGAGCAACGAAUUUUUAAGAGGAUACGAUAGAACGGAUAUGUUUUCAAGAAGAAGUAACCGGCACGAUUUCAAAGUUGUAAAAGCUGGAGGAUCCGUUUGAGCGGACCGCUUUGUGUCCCGCGAUAAAAAGUGUUUCAAGCAGGUAAAACAUUCCUACUGAAACGAUUCUACCUGAUCCACCUGGCUUUCACACUACAUUUUCGACCACAGUUUCUUUCUAUAAGAUUGAGAUUCUUGGAAGAACAAUACAUUCGAAAGCUAACAGCGUACAUAUUUGAUUGAUCGACGAAUUAUCUUCGAAAGAAAAUCCGACGAGGAUCCUAAGUUGACUGAGAGUAUUGAAGAAAGUCGUCAAAAUUGCAGCUUAAGAAUCUAAUAUCGACGGCUUUCGAGAAGAGGCUUGGAUAUUACAUAUUGCUAUAAAGUGCUCUUUCUAAAAUAUCUUCUUCCGACAAGUGAUACUUUUCUUCGAUUUUUUUUUGAAAGAAAGAGAGAGAGAUUUAAAAUUCAAAAAUAAUAGUUUUGCAUGGAAUCGCAUAAGAAAUCAAUUCUUCCAGAUUAGAAACGAAACGUGACUAUCAUAGAUACAUAUUGUAUCAUAGAUAAUUUUGAAGGACAGGAAAUGGACAAUGAGAGUGUUUCUUCGCUGGACAUCCGGUUCACCACGCGCACUGCGUGUGUCUUAUUUGACGUCACAACACACCUGCUUCCUUACAGCUGUUCUCCAAUCCGUGGUGGGAAGUAUCGCAGUGGGAGCUGCGACCACCCCUCGACAAAACGUAAGGAUAUGUGUUUUACAAACGCCAGACACACACACCAUCGAGUGACCCAGUCGCAACAGAUGCAAGAAUAUGUGUUAUUUCUUUCCUCAUCUCUCCCUUGGCCAUGUCUUUUUCCCUCUCCGAUUCUUUUUUCCCAUCGGGGUGUAUGCAUUCCCUGGAGAUAUUUCUGGAAGGGAUGACGAACCCGAUCGGUUAACUAGAGUAUUGUUCGAUUAUUAUUUCGGUACAUAUCGUGCACUUGUUAUCUCUUUGUGCGGUCAUAUGGUGGUCCAAGGGUGAUCGUGCCAUCGAUGACGGAUCUGUCGUUGCAUCGAACUGUUAGUGAUAUCUAUAGUCACCCAUACAAUUCCAUAUUAUGCAUUUAAGAAAAAUAUAAUUUAAUAUAUUUAAC
This is a long non-coding RNA of Apis cerana (Asiatic honeybee), 1995 nucleotides long. RefSeq lists it as uncharacterized. The record is from RefSeq and is a predicted model, not a curated record. Lineage: Eukaryota; Metazoa; Arthropoda; Insecta; Hymenoptera; Apidae.